Molecule: non-coding RNA, 90 nt
Filed under: Pseudomonas sp. 29
Lineage: Bacteria; Pseudomonadati; Pseudomonadota; Gammaproteobacteria; Pseudomonadales; Pseudomonadaceae
Source: RNAcentral
UGUGGGAGCGAGCUUGCUCGCGAAGGCGUCGGUCCAGUCGAUACGAGUAUUGAAUGUGACGGCCUCUUCGCGAGCAAGCUCGCUCCCACA